UCAUUUAGAGGAAGGAGAAGUCGUAACAAGGUUUCCGUAGGUGAACCUGCGGAAGGAUCAUUGUCGCAUCCUGCAAACGACCGCGAACACGUCCGGCGCGGAUAGCGCCAAGGACUACUCAAACGGAUCCUCCGUGCCGGUUUCCGCAGGGCGGGUGCGGUGCGUCUGAAAUCGUAUAACCAAUACGACUCUCGGCAACGGAUAUCUAGGCUCUCGCAUCGAUGAAGAACGUAGCGAAAUGCGAUACUUGGUGUGAAUUGCAGAAUCCCGUGAACCAUCGAGUUUUUGAACGCAAGUUGCGCCCGAAGCCAUUAGGCUGAGGGCACGCCUGCCUGGGCGUCACGCAUCGUCGCCACCCGUGACGGAAUUUGGCCUCCCGUGCGCGGCCGGCCUAAAUGCGAGUCCUCCGUUCGGAAACGUCACGACAAGUGGUGGUUGAAAACCUCUUCCCGAUCGAAGUCGUGGCCCUUUGCCUUGCGGAUGGUGCUCAAAGACCCUGGUCCUCGACCAUGACCCCAGGUCAGACGGGACUACCCGCUGAGUUUAAGCAUAUCAAUAAGCG
RNAcentral lists this ribosomal RNA (562 nucleotides) under Cordylostigma cuspidatum. RNAcentral describes it as "eukaryotic LSU rRNA". The stretch from base 187 to 342 matches the Rfam family "5.8S ribosomal RNA". Lineage: Eukaryota; Viridiplantae; Streptophyta; Magnoliopsida; Gentianales; Rubiaceae. The record is from RNAcentral.